UACGGAGGUGGCGAGCGUUGUUCGGAAUUACUGGGCGUAAAGGGUGUGUAGGCGGUCGGACGUGUUCGGUGUGAAAGCCCCCGGCUCACUCGGGGAACUGCAUCGAAAACUGUCCGGCUUGAGUGCAGGAGAGGAGAAUGGAAUUUCUGGUGUAGCGGUGAAAUGCGUAGAUAUCAGAAGGAACGCCAAUGGCGAAAGCAGUUCUCUGGCCUGUUACUGACGCUGAGGCACGAAAGCCAAGGGAG
Molecule: ribosomal RNA, 245 nt
Filed under: uncultured bacterium
Lineage: Bacteria
Description: partial 16S ribosomal RNA
Rfam family: Bacterial small subunit ribosomal RNA
Source: RNAcentral